UUUGAUUUAUUAUUCAUGCUUGUGUUUGACAUUCCAUAUAACUUAUUUUUCCUUGGUUUGUUAGAAUUUAAACCAAUUACUAAGGAAAUAUGCAAGUUGCCGUCGUUCUUCUCAAGGGCUCUUUUUAGGAAGAUUGAUGUUGAGGGAACGGGCAUCAUAACAAGGGAUGCCUUUGUUGAUUAUUGGGUCAACGGAAAUAUGUUGACAAAAGAUAUAGCAACCCAGAUUUACACAAUCUUGAAGCAGCUAGAUCUCAAACACCUGACACAGGAUGAUUUCAAGCCCGUGCUUCAAGAGCUUUUGGCAACACAUCCUGGGUUAGAGUUCUUACGGAGCACACCUGAAUUUCAAGAGCGAUAUGCUGAAACUGUAAUAUACAGAAUAUUUUUCUACGUGAAUAGAUUGGGUAAUGGUCAACUUACCCUCAGGGAGCUGAAGCGUUCAGACCUAAUUGCUGCAAUGCAACAUGCGGAUGAAGAAGAAGAUAUUAACAAGGUCCUUAGGUACUUCUCUUACGAACACUUUUACGUGAUAUAUUGCAAGUUUUGGGAGCUCGAUACGGAUCAUGAUUUUCUGAUUGAUAAAGAGAACCUCAUUCGAUAUGGCAACCAUGCCCUUACAUACAGGAUUGUUGAUAGAAUAUUUUCUCAGGUUCCAAGGAAGUUUACAAGUAAAGUUGAAGGAAAGAUGGGUUAUGAAGACUUUGUUUACUUUAUAUUGUCGGAGGAGGAUAAAACAUCAGAGCCUGGUCUUGAAUACUGGUUCAAAUGCAUAGAUUUGGAUGGAAACGGUGUUCUGACUAGGAAUGAAAUGCAAUUUUUUUAUGAGGAGCAGUUGCAUAGAAUGGAAUGCAUGGGCCAAGAGCCAGUGCUUUUUGAGGAUAUAUUGUGCCAGAUGGUCGACAUGAUUAGUCCAGAGGAUGAAAGUUAUUUUAUGUUACAUGACUUGAAGGGCAAUAAGUUAUCCGGCAGUGUUUUCAAUAUACUCUUUAACCUCAAUAAGUUCAUGGCAUUUGAAACUCGCGACCCGUUCCUAAUACGUCAGGAGCGUGAGAACCCGAAUUUGACUGAGUGGGAUCGCUUUGCACAUAGAGAAUAUAUUAGACUCUCAAUGGAGGAAGAUGCAGAGGAUGCCUCCAAUGGAAGUGCAGAUGUCUGGGAUGAAUCACUUGAGGCUCCUUUUUGAGUUCAGUUGGCAAGGUGGAAAGGUGUGGACUAUCCAUUUAUCUACAUCUCCUUCAACCGUUUCCAGGAAUGUGCCUGCAUCGUACAUUACCUCAAGCUAAAUUUUGAGCUGCAAAAGUGAAUUUUGCACAGAUAAGAAUCAAGUGGGACAAGCUGCUCUCUGUGUUCCACCAAGAUGUUCUCUUUGAGAUAGCCACAGAGGAAUUUUUUAUUGGUCUGCACAGAGCAUGCUCUCAAGUGUUUCUGUCCAUGCUAGUCUGAAAGCUGCCAACAUGAAUUAUCAAGGGCUUGGCAAAUGGACGAUUGGCGAUUGACUGUCAAAUGUACCUUCUUGUAAUUCAGAACUUUCACAUUUGUUCUCUCUUUAAGAAAUCAAUGUUAUUAAUUAUUUGUUGUAGUUCCAAUUUUUAGCGGUGUCAGAUACCUUUUUCUCUAGAUGAGGUUUAGUGUAGUGAGUGCCAAUGUGCCAAGUUGUAUGCUUCUCGUUCCCUUUUUGUGGUCUGUGAAUCUUGGUAGUUGUGUAUGAGCUGCAAUGAUAUUCUUCUCUUUCUUUGUCCUGCUACUUGGAUGUUGACCUCAAGGAUUUAUAAUUUUUCUGACAAA
This is a non-coding RNA of Nicotiana tabacum (common tobacco), 1787 nucleotides long. Lineage: Eukaryota; Viridiplantae; Streptophyta; Magnoliopsida; Solanales; Solanaceae. The record is from RefSeq and is a predicted model, not a curated record.